This 497-nucleotide ribosomal RNA is filed under the name uncultured bacterium. RNAcentral describes it as "partial 16S ribosomal RNA". It matches the Rfam family "Bacterial small subunit ribosomal RNA", at positions 28 to 507 of the family's 1533-position model. The record is from RNAcentral.
GAUGAACGCUGGCGGCGUGCCUAAUACAUGCAAGUCGAGCGAACAGACGAGGAGCUUGCUCCUCUGACGUUAGCGGCGGACGGGUGAGUAACACGUGGAUAACCUACCUAUAAGACUGGGAUAACUUCGGGAAACCGGAGCUAAUACCGGAUAAUAUAUUGAACCGCAUGGUUCAAUAGUGAAAGACGGUUUUGCUGUCACUUAUAGAUGGAUCCGCGCCGCAUUAGCUAGUUGGUAAGGUAACGGCUUACCAAGGCAACGAUGCGUAGCCGACCUGAGAGGGUGAUCGGCCACACUGGAACUGAGACACGGUCCAGACUCCUACGGGAGGCAGCAGUAGGGAAUCGUCCGCAAUGGGCGAAAGCCUGACGGAGCAACGCCGCGUGAGUGAUGAAGGUCUUCGGAUCGUAAAACUCUGUUAUUAGGGAAGAACAAAUGUGUAAGUAACUAUGCACGUCUUGACGGUACCUAAUCAGAAAGCCACGGCUAACUACGUG